AGAUAUACCAAGUUCAGUUUUGUUCAAAUGAUUGUUCUGUUGCCUUUCAUCACUGGGCUUUGUUUAUCUCA
Molecule: microRNA precursor, 71 nt
Filed under: Bactrocera dorsalis (oriental fruit fly)
Lineage: Eukaryota; Metazoa; Arthropoda; Insecta; Diptera; Tephritidae
Description: microRNA bdo-mir-318 precursor
Gene: bdo-mir-318
Source: miRBase by way of RNAcentral